Molecule: ribosomal RNA, 372 nt
Filed under: uncultured organism
Description: partial 16S ribosomal RNA
Rfam family: Bacterial small subunit ribosomal RNA
Source: RNAcentral
GUAGGUGGCAAGCGUUGUCCGGAAUUAUUGGGCGUAAAGCGCGCGCAGGCGGUCCUUUAAGUCUGAUGUGAAAGCCCACGGCUCAACCGUGGAGGGUCAUUGGAAACUGGGGGACUUGAGUACAGAAGAGGAAAGCGGAAUUCCACGUGUAGCGGUGAAAUGCGUAGGGAUGUGGAGGAACACCAGUGGCGAAGGCGGCUUUCUGGUCUGUAACUGACGCUGAGGCGCGAAAGCGUGGGGAGCAAACAGGAUUAGAUACCCUGGUAGUCCACGCCGUAAACGAUGAGUGCUAAGUGUUAGGGGUUUCCGCCCCCCUUAGUGCUGCAGCUAACGCAUUAAGCACUCCGCCUGGGGAGUACGGCCGCAAGGCUG